GACGAACGCUGGCGGCGUGCCUAAUACAUGCAAGUCGAGCGCAGGAAGCUGACGGAACUCUUCGGAGGGAAGGCAGUGGAAUGAGCGGCGGACGGGUGAGUAACACGUAAGGAACCUGCCUCAAGGAUUGGGAUAACUCCGAGAAAUCGGAGCUAAUACCGGAUAGUUCAUCGGACCGCAUGGUCCGUUGAUGAAAGGCGCUUCGGCGUCACCUUGAGAUGGCCUUGCGGUGCAUUAGCUAGUUGGUGGGGUAACGGCCGACCAAGGCGACGACGCAUAGCCGACCUGAGAGGGUGAUCGGCCACACUGGGACUGAGACACGGCCCAGACUCCUACGGGAGGCAGCAGUAGGGAAUCUUCCACAAUGGACGAAAGUCUGAUGGAGCAACGCCGCGUGAGUGAUGAAGGUUUUCGGAUCGUAAAACUCUGUUGUAAGGGAAGAACACGUACGAGAGGGAAUGCUCGUACCUUGACGGUACCUUACGAGAAAGCCACGGCUAACUACGUGCCAGCCGCCGCAGUAA
RNAcentral lists this ribosomal RNA (524 nucleotides) under uncultured bacterium. RNAcentral describes it as "partial 16S ribosomal RNA". It matches the Rfam family "Bacterial small subunit ribosomal RNA", at positions 28 to 523 of the family's 1533-position model. The record is from RNAcentral.